RNAcentral lists this ribosomal RNA (484 nucleotides) under uncultured bacterium. RNAcentral's name for it is "partial 16S ribosomal RNA". It matches the Rfam family "Bacterial small subunit ribosomal RNA", at positions 30 to 507 of the family's 1533-position model. The record is from RNAcentral.
AUUGAACGCUGGCGGCAGGCCUAACACAUGCAAGUCGAGCGGAUGAAGGGAGCUUGCUCCUGGAUUCAGCGGCGGACGGGUGAGUAAUGCCUAGGAAUCUGCCUGGUAGUGGGGGAUAACGUCCGGAAACGGGCGCUAAUACCGCAUACGUCCUGAGGGAGAAAGUGGGGGAUCUUCAGACCUCAAGCUAUCAGAUGAGCCUAGGUCGGAUUAGCUAGUUGGUUGGGUAAAGGCCUACCAAGGCGACGAUCCGUAACUGGUCUGAGAGGAUGAUCAGUCACACUGGAACUGAGACACGGUCCAGACUCCUACGGGAGGCAGCAGUGGGGAAUAUUGGACAAUUGGCGAAAGCCUGAUCCAGCCAUGCCGCGUGUGUGAAGAAGGUCUUCGGAUUGUAAAGCACUUUAAGUUGGGAGGAAGGGCAGUAAGUUAAUACCUUGCUGUUUUGACGUUACCAACAGAAUAAGCACCGGCUAACUUCGUG